Molecule: ribosomal RNA, 466 nt
Filed under: uncultured bacterium
Lineage: Bacteria
Description: partial 16S ribosomal RNA
Rfam family: Bacterial small subunit ribosomal RNA
Source: RNAcentral
GAUGAACGCUGGCGGCGUGCUUAACACAUGCAAGUCGAACGAUGAAGCCCAGCUUGCCGGGUGGAUUAGUGGCGAACGGGUGAGUAACACGUGAGUAACCUGCCCUUAACUCUGGGAUAAGCCUGGGAAACUGGGUCUAAUACCGGAUAGGAGCGUCCACCGCAUGGCGGGUGUUGGAAAGAUUUAUCGGUUUUGGAUGGACUCGCGGCCUAUCAGCUUGUUGGUGAGGUAAUGGCUCACCAAGGCGACGACGGGUAGCCGGCCUGAGAGGGUGACCGGCCACACUGGGACUGAGACACGGCCCAGACUCCUACGGGAGGCAGCAGUGGGGAAUAUUGCACAAUGGGCGCAAGCCUGAUGCAGCGACGCCGCGUGAGGGAUGACGGCCUUCGGGUUGUAAACCUCUUUCAGUAGGGAAGAAGCGAAAGUGACGGUACCUGCAGAAGAAGCACCGGCUAACUACGUG